UACGUAGGGGGCGAGCGUUGUCCGAAGUUACUGGGCGUAAAGCGCGCGUAGGCGGCUAAUUAAGUCUGAGGUGAAAGGUUCAGCGCUCAACGUGAACAGUGCCUUGGAUACUGGUUGGCUUGAGUGUGGCAGAGGAGUAUGGAAUUCCUGGUGUAGCGGUGAAAUGCGUAGAGAUCAGGAGGAAUACCGAUGGCGAAGGCAGUACUCUGGGCUAACACUGACGCUGAGGUGCGAAAGCGUGGGGAGCGAACGGG
This 254-nucleotide ribosomal RNA is filed under the name uncultured bacterium. Its description in RNAcentral is "partial 16S ribosomal RNA". It matches the Rfam family "Bacterial small subunit ribosomal RNA", at positions 524 to 776 of the family's 1533-position model. The record is from RNAcentral.